Molecule: ribosomal RNA, 753 nt
Filed under: uncultured Acinetobacter sp.
Lineage: Bacteria; Pseudomonadati; Pseudomonadota; Gammaproteobacteria; Moraxellales; Moraxellaceae
Description: bacterial SSU rRNA
Rfam family: Bacterial small subunit ribosomal RNA
Source: RNAcentral
GCUUGCACCUUAUCUUAGCGGCGGACGGGUGAGUAAUGCUUAGGAAUCUGCCUAUUAGUGGGGGACAACAUUCCGAAAGGAAUGCUAAUACCGCAUACGUCCUACGGGAGAAAGCAGGGGAUCUUCGGACCUUGCGCUAAUAGAUGAGCCUAAGUCGGAUUAGCUAGUUGGUGGGGUAAAGGCCUACCAAGGCGACGAUCUGUAGCGGGUCUGAGAGGAUGAUCCGCCACACUGGGACUGAGACACGGCCCAGACUCCUACGGGAGGCAGCAGUGGGGAAUAUUGGACAAUGGGGGGAACCCUGAUCCAGCCAUGCCGCGUGUGUGAAGAAGGCCUUAUGGUUGUAAAGCACUUUAAGCGAGGAGGAGGCUACUGAGACUAAUACUCUUGGAUAGUGGACGUUACUCGCAGAAUAAGCACCGGCUAACUCUGUGCCAGCAGCCGCGGUAAUACAGAGGGUGCGAGCGUUAAUCGGAUUUACUGGGCGUAAAGCGUGCGUAGGCGGCUUUUUAAGUCGGAUGUGAAAUCCCCGAGCUUAACUUGGGAAUUGCAUUCGAUACUGGGAAGCUAGAGUAUGGGAGAGGAUGGUAGAAUUCCAGGUGUAGCGGUGAAAUGCGUAGAGAUCUGGAGGAAUACCGAUGGCGAAGGCAGCCAUCUGGCCUAUUACUGACGCUGAGGUACGAAAGCAUGGGGAGCAAACAGGAUUAGAUACCCUGGUAGUCCAUGCCGUAAACGAUGUCUACUAGCCGUUGG